This 362-nucleotide long non-coding RNA is filed under the name Setaria italica (foxtail millet). RNAcentral's name for it is "long non-coding RNA (SITA_LNC006938)". Lineage: Eukaryota; Viridiplantae; Streptophyta; Magnoliopsida; Poales; Poaceae. The record is from RNAcentral.
CGGAAGACCAGCUUCCCACGGGUCGUCAUGGCAUGCUGGUUGGUGAAUGGAUGAACUUGGACAGCGCUGGGAGGCAAGACCGGCAUUGGUGGCUGUGCCAGGAUCUGCGACAGCAGUCGGGGUCGACGGCUAUAUCAGAGAAGCAGGGCGCCGCUGCCAGCUGGGGCAGCGGCUGCGUCAGGGGUUGCCGCCGCUGCGCCGGGGGUAGCAGAGGUGCCCUGGGGCGCCGCAUCGGUAGGGGACGCGAUGCCUGCAGGGGCGGCCGCACGUGGCCGUGCGGAGAGCGCUUGUGGCUGUGCGAGGGACGCUGCCGGGGACACCGCGCCUAUAGGGGUGGCCACACGUGGCCAUGCGGAGAAUGC